AAAGAUAAAGUUACAAUUAAAAUCACUUGAAUCACGAGGAACAAAAGGUGUUGAGAAAUUUGAAAAGGAAAGAAAAAUUGACAGAGAAAGUUGUCACCGAAGUUCAAGAAAGAAGAUCAGAGUUGGCAAAGAAAGAAAAAGAUACUUUGCACAAACGGUGAAAGAUAACCUUAGAAGAGAAACUGCAUUUAUAUAAUGCAACAAAGGAGACAUAUGAUAACAUGAAAUUAUAUCACAUUUUAGGACUUAAUUCAAUU
RNAcentral lists this long non-coding RNA (257 nucleotides) under Lathyrus oleraceus (garden pea). RNAcentral describes it as "Pisum sativum (pea) long non-coding RNA (PSAT_LNC031184)". The record is from RNAcentral. Lineage: Eukaryota; Viridiplantae; Streptophyta; Magnoliopsida; Fabales; Fabaceae.